Sus scrofa (pig) is the source of this 1186-nucleotide non-coding RNA. The record is from RefSeq and is a predicted model, not a curated record. Lineage: Eukaryota; Metazoa; Chordata; Mammalia; Artiodactyla; Suidae.
CACAUUUUAAAUAAGAAAUAAUGCUCCACUAAGAAAUGAGAAGGGGAAAAACUUGUUUAAGGUCCAUAAUCUUGGGUUUGUUUUUUUUUAAAAUCAAGAACUGAGUUAUUGGAGUUCUCUUGUAGUGUAGUAGAUUAAGAAUUUAGCAUUGUCACUUCAGCAGCCUGGGUCACUGCUAUGAUAUAGGUUUGAUCCCAGGCCCAGGAAUUUCCACAUGCUGCAGGUGUGACCCCCCCCUCAAAAAAAGAACUAAGUUAUUCUAUUUCUAUUCUAUUCUCUCACUAUGGCAACUGCCAUCAGAAGUUCUAGGCAGUUAAGGAUUGUGUAUAAAUCAGGAUCUAAUCAGGGAAACAAGCACCAAUCUUAACUCAGGGGUUGAGGAAGAACAGAGAAGCCAAAGUACGGUGAGUGAGCUACAGAGAGCCUCUGCAAGGUCUAGGUCAGAAGGAUGGACAGUGCAGAGCUCAAGGUCAUCAGAGACGCUGCCUGACAGGGCACAGCAGACCUGUGCUAAGGAGGCAGGGCUGAGAGUCUGGGAGCAAGGCGGAGACCCGAUGGACAGCACUACAUGGAGCGAGAGCUGCAGAGGGUUCCCCUCCAGCCUUCAACUGAGGACUGACCAACACAUGCAUGUAAGAAAACUAUGCCAAGCCAGGGCAAGAACCACCUGAGAGGAGAAGAGGGAACAAUCUCCAAAGCCCAUAUAAGACCCUGCGAGAGGGAGGGCUUUUUCCCUUCCAGCCUCCCUCUCAUCCUCCACCAGUGCCUCUCACCAGCCAGUGGUUACCAACCUUGGCUGAGAUGACUGGGCACACCCCUAGAGAGUCAGUGGAACUCGCCUAAGUGCAGCCUGAGCAUUAGGAGUUUUAAAAGCUGUCUCUGUGAACACCACUGCAGGAGCUGAGCAUAGGAGACCAGAUCCCGGAAAAGCAGUCUGAGGAAAUCAGUGCCCUGCCAUACAAGGUACUGGAGCGUUACCGUGUCCACAAUCGUGACGGAUGAGGCGCUGAAAAAUUCUCCUAUUAUGACAACUACUAAGAUCACCAAGAAUAUAGCUUCUACCUCUUGCUGAUCAUAAACAAGAGUGACUUGGUCAGAAGUCUGUUUCCUCCUCAGGAAUAGCAGCUGAUUCAGACGGAGAGGGAGUUUCAUUUGAAGGUGGUUCUGGUUCCCUGGAAAUACCAUU